AGGAGAGAACAGAAAGAUGAACUACUUGAAAACGACCAUGAUGAGGAUACACAUUCUAGUGACUGCACUAUAGAGACAGAAACAACAAUUCAUCAAAAAUCAGAUACGAAAAGUAAACGUUAUUCACCAGGCGAACACCUUACAGCUAAUGACUCUAUAACGGUAUCGUUCAAGCCAGGAAAAGUACCCUUUUCUAUUGAAGGCACAACAGAUCCUGACAGAUCAAGGUACAGGAGCGUGAUCUACAAGUAGCAUAUUUGAGCACUAAAU
This is a long non-coding RNA of Corticium candelabrum, 270 nucleotides long. RefSeq lists it as uncharacterized. Lineage: Eukaryota; Metazoa; Porifera; Homoscleromorpha; Homosclerophorida; Plakinidae. The record is from RefSeq and is a predicted model, not a curated record. The transcript has 3 exons.